This 506-nucleotide ribosomal RNA is filed under the name uncultured bacterium. RNAcentral describes it as "partial 16S ribosomal RNA". It matches the Rfam family "Bacterial small subunit ribosomal RNA", at positions 30 to 523 of the family's 1533-position model. The record is from RNAcentral.
AUUGAACGCUGGCGGCAGGCCUAACACAUGCAAGUCGAACGGUAACAGGAAGCAGCUUGCUGCUUUGCUGACGAGUGGCGGACGGGUGAGUAAUGUCUGGGAAGCUGCCUGAUGGAGGGGGAUAACUACUGGAAACGGUAGCUAAUACCGCAUAACGUCGCAAGACCAAAGAGGGGGACCUUCGGGCCUCUUGCCAUCGGAUGUGCCCAGAUGGGAUUAGCUAGUAGGUGGGGUAACGGCUCACCUAGGCGACGAUCCCUAGCUGGUCUGAGAGGAUGACUAGCCACACUGGAACUGAGACACGGUCCAGACUCCUACGGGAGGCAGCAGUGGGGAAUAUUGCACAAUGGGCGCAAGCCUGAUGCAGCCAUGCCGCGUGUAUGAAGAAGGCCUUCGGGUUGUAAAGUACUUUCAGCGGGGAGGAAGGUGUUGAGGUUAAUAACCUCAGCAAUUGACGUUACCCGCAGAAGAAGCACCGGCUAACUCCGUGCCAGCAGCCGCCGUAA